This 1472-nucleotide ribosomal RNA is filed under the name uncultured bacterium. RNAcentral's name for it is "bacterial SSU rRNA". It matches the Rfam family "Bacterial small subunit ribosomal RNA". The record is from RNAcentral.
GACGAACGCUGGCGGCACGCCUAACACAUGCAAGUCGAGCGGAGUAAUUCUUGCACCGAGUAUUUUAUGACUGAGAAGGUCAGGAAUAUUGGGUGUAGGGAUUGCUUAGCGGCGGACGGGUGAGUAACACGUGAGCAACCUGCCUCUAUGAGAGGGAUAACGUUUGGAAACGAACGCUAAUACCACAUAACAUAACGAAGUCGCCUGGCUUUGUUAUCAAAGGAGCAAUCCGCAUAGAGAUGGGCUCGCGUCUGUUUAGAUAGUUGGUGAGGUAACGGCUCACCAAGUCGACGAUCAGUAGCCGGACUGAGAGGUUGAACGGCCACGUUGGGACUGAGACACGGCCCAGACUCCUACGUGAGGCAGCAGUGGGGGAUAUUGGACAAUGGGGGAAACCCUGAUCCAGCGAUGCCGCGUGAGGGAAGAAGGUUUUCGGAUUGUAAACCUCUGUCUUCGGGGACGAUAAUGACGGUACCCGAGGAGGAAGCUCCGGCUAACUACGUGCCAGCAGCCGCGGUAAUACGUAGGGAGCGAGCGUUGUCCGGAAUUACUGGGUGUAAAGGGAGCGUAGGCGGGACGGCAAGUUAGGUGUGAAAACUAUGGGCUCAACCCAUAGCCUGCACUUAAAACUACUGUUCUUGAGUGAAGUAGAGGAUGGCGGAAUUCCCAGUGUAGCGGUGAAAUGCGUAGAUAUUGGGAGGAACACCAGUGGCGAAGGCGGCCAUCUGGGCUUUUACUGACGCUGAGGCUCGAAAGCGUGGGGAGCAAACAGGAUUAGAUACCCUGGUAGUCCACGCUGUAAACGAUGAUUACUAGGUGUGGGGGGAUUGACCCCUUCCGUGCCGCAGUUAACACAAUAAGUAAUCCACCUGGGGAGUACGGCCGCAGGGUUGAAACUCAAAGGAAUCGACGGGGGCCCGCACAAGCAGUGGAGUAUGUGGUUUAAUUCGAAGCAACGCGAAGAACCUUACCAGGUCUUGACAUCGAUUGAAAGGCUAAGAGAUUAGCCCCUCUUUUCGGAGACAAGGAGACAGGUGGUGCAUGGUUGUCGUCAGCUCGUGUCGUGAGAUGUUGGGUUAAGUCCCGCAACGAGCGCAACCCUUACCAUUAGUUGCUACGCAAGAGCACUCUAAUGGGACUGCCGUUGACAAAACGGAGGAAGGUGGGGAUGACGUCAAAUCAUCAUGCCCCUUAUGACCUGGGCUACACACGUACUACAAUGGCAAUUAACAGAGGGAAGCAAAACAGUGAUGUUAAGCAAAUCCCGAAAAAUUGUCUCAGUUCGGAUUGUAGGCUGCAACUCGCCUACAUGAAGUCGGAAUUGCUAGUAAUCGCAGAUCAGCAUGCUGCGGUGAAUACGUUCCCGGGCCUUGUACACACCGCCCGUCACACCAUGGGAGUCGGUAACACCCGAAGCCUGUAGCCCAACCGCGAGGAAGGCGCAGUCGAAGGUGGGAUUGAUGACUGGGGUG